RNAcentral lists this ribosomal RNA (491 nucleotides) under uncultured bacterium. RNAcentral describes it as "partial 16S ribosomal RNA". It matches the Rfam family "Bacterial small subunit ribosomal RNA", at positions 29 to 507 of the family's 1533-position model. The record is from RNAcentral.
AGUGAACGCUGGCGGUAGGCCUAACACAUGCCAGUCGAACGGCAGCACAGUAAGAGCUUGCUCUUACGGGUGGCGAGUGGCGGACGGGUGAGGAAUACAUCGGAAUCUACUUUUUCGUGGGGGAUAACGUAGGGAAACUUACGCUAAUACCGCAUACGACCUACGGUGAAAGCAGGGGAUCUUCGGACCUUGCGCGAUUGAAUGAGCCGAUGUCGGAUUAGCUAGUUGGCGGGGUAAAGGCCCACCAAGGCGACGAUCCGUAGCUGGUCUGAGAGGAUGAUCAGCCACACUGGAACUGAGACACGGUCCAGACUCCUACGGGAGGCAGCAGUGGGGAAUAUUGGACAAUGGGCGCAAGCCUGAUCCAGCCAUACCGCGUGGGUGAAGAAGGCCUUCGGGUUGUAAAGCCCUUUUGUUGGGAAAGAAAAGCAGCAGGUUAAUACCCCGCUGUUCUGACGGUACCCAAAGAAUAAGCACCGGCUAACUUCGUG